CGGUAAUUCCAGCUCCAAUAGCGUAUACUAAAGUUGUUGCAGUUAAAAAGCUCGUAGUUGGAUUUCUGCGGGGACGGAGCGGCCGGACGCAACUUGCGUCUCGAGCUAGCGCUUUCCCCGCAUCCUGCCGCGAACCGUGCUACCAUUAGCUUGGUGGCGCUGGGGAUCGGCUCGAUUACUUUGAGAAAAAUAGAGUGUUCAAAGCAGGCCACACGCCUUGAAUAAGUUAGCAUGGAAUAAUGACUAAGGACUUCGGUUCUACUUUGUUGGUGUUCGGGACUGAAGUAAUGAUUGAUAGGGACAGUUGGGGCGGUCUGUAUUCCAAAGCGAGAGGUGAAAUUCUUAGACCUUCGGAAGACAAACAGCUGCGAAAGCGUUCCGCAAGGAUGUUCCCUUUGAUCAAGAACGAAAGUUGGGGGAUCGAAGACGAUCAGAUACCGUCGUAGUCUCAACUAUAAACUAUACCAGCUAGGGAUCGGUCAACGUUUAAUCAUUCGACUUGAUCGGCACCUUAUGAGAAAUCAAAGCAUCUGGGUUCCGGGGGGAGUAUGGUCGCAAGGCUGAAACUUAAAGGAAUUGACGGAAGGGCACCACCAGCCGUGGAGCCUGUGGCUUAAUUUGACUCAACACGGGAAAACUUACCAGGUCCGGACAUAGUAAGGAUUGACAGAUUGAUAGCUCUUUCUUGAUUCUGUGGGUGGUGGUGCAUGGCCGUUUUUAGUCGGUGAAGUGAUUUGUCUGCUUAAUUGCGUUAACGGACGAGACCCCAGCCUGCUAAAUAGCGCGGCCGAGCUUUGCUCGGUGCGAGCUUCUUAGAGGGACCAUGAUGCGCGAUAGCACAAAGAAGUUUGGGGCAACAACAGGUCUGUGAUGCCCUUAGAUGUUCUGGGCCGCACACGGGCUACACUGGCGCCUGCAACGAGCAUAUCAGCUGGCCCGAGAGGGUCUUGGCUAAUCUUUGGAACCGGCGCCGUGCUUGGGAUUGACCAUUGCAAUUGUUGGUCAUGCAACGAGGAAUGCCUUGUAAACGCGAGUCAUCAGCUCGCAUUGAAUACGUCCCUGCCCUUUGUACACACCGCCCGUCGCUCCUACCGAUGGAUGUUCCGAUGAAAUUUUCGGAGAGCGCCAGAGAACGGGGCUCUGCCUUGCAGAUCUGGAGGCUCAAAGUCACUUAAAUCUGAACAUUUCGAGGAAGGAGAAGUCGUAACAAGGUAGCCG
Molecule: ribosomal RNA, 1218 nt
Filed under: uncultured Rhizaria
Lineage: Eukaryota
Description: SSU rRNA
Rfam family: Eukaryotic small subunit ribosomal RNA
Source: RNAcentral